Molecule: ribosomal RNA, 497 nt
Filed under: uncultured bacterium
Lineage: Bacteria
Description: partial 16S ribosomal RNA
Rfam family: Bacterial small subunit ribosomal RNA
Source: RNAcentral
GAUGAACGCUGGCGGCGUGCCUAAUACAUGCAAGUCGAGCGAACAGACGAGGAGCUUGCUCCUUCGACGUUAGCGGCGGACGGGUGAGUAACACGUAGGUAACCUACCUAUAAGACUGGGAUAACUUCGGGAAACCGGAGCUAAUACCGGAUAAUAUUUCGAACCGCAUGGUUCGAUAGUGAAAGAUGGCUUUGCUAUCACUUAUAGAUGGACCUGCGCCGUAUUAGCUAGUUGGUAAGGUAACGGCUUACCAAGGCAACGAUACGUAGCCGACCUGAGAGGGUGAUCGGCCACACUGGAACUGAGACACGGUCCAGACUCCUACGGGAGGCAGCAGUAGGGAAUCUUCCGCAAUGGGCGAAAGCCUGACGGAGCAACGCCGUGUGAGUGAUGAAGGUCUUCGGAUCGUAAAACUCUGUUAUUAGGGAAGAACAAACGUGUAAGUAACUGUGCACGUCUUGACGGUACCUAAUCAGAAAGCCACGGCUAACUACGUG